Molecule: ribosomal RNA, 524 nt
Filed under: uncultured bacterium
Lineage: Bacteria
Description: bacterial SSU rRNA
Rfam family: Bacterial small subunit ribosomal RNA
Source: RNAcentral
UUUGACAACUCUAGAGAUAGAGUCUUCCCCUUCGGGGGACAAAGUGACAGGUGGUGCAUGGUUGUCGUCAGCUCGUGUCGUGAGAUGUUGGGUUAAGUCCCGCAACGAGCGCAACCCUUAAGCUUAGUUGCCAGCAUUAAGUUGGGCACUCUAAGUUGACUGCCGGUGACAAACCGGAGGAAGGUGGGGAUGACGUCAAAUCAUCAUGCCCCUUAUGAUUUGGGCUACACACAUGCUACAAUGGACAAUACAAAGGGCAGCUAAACCGUGAGGUCAUGCAAAUCCCAUAAAGUUGUUCUCAGUUCGGAUUGUAGUCUGCAACUCGACUACAUGAAGCUGGAAUCGCUAGUAAUCGUAGAUCAGCAUGCUACGGUGAAUACGUUCCCGGGUCUUGUACACACCGCCCGUCACACCACGAGAGUCUGUAACACCCGAAGCCGGUGGAGUAACCAUUUAUGGAGCUAGCCGUCGAAGGUGGGACAAAUGAUUGGGGUGAAGUCGUAACAAGGUAGCCGUAUCGGAAG